GGGGCUGUAGCUCAAUUGGUAGAGCACCGCCUUUGCAAGGCGGGGGUCAGGGGUUCGAUUCCCCUCAGCUCCACCC
RNAcentral lists this transfer RNA (76 nucleotides) under Amycolatopsis albispora. Its description in RNAcentral is "tRNA-Ala". It matches the Rfam family "tRNA". Rfam says of the family: Transfer RNA (tRNA) molecules are approximately 80 nucleotides in length. Their secondary structure includes four short double-helical elements and three loops (D, anti-codon, and T loops). The record is from RNAcentral. Lineage: Bacteria; Bacillati; Actinomycetota; Actinomycetes; Pseudonocardiales; Pseudonocardiaceae.